AUGUGUGUGCCCUUAUCAUUCAGCAAUCUUCAUUGUUUCUUAUUGUUUCCCAUAUCCUCUCUUUUUCCUUUUUCUCACUAUUCCUCGGCUUUCGUCUUCCUCUUUUUCUUUUUUAUUCUUCUGACUCUUCAUCUUCUUCAUUCUUCCUCUUUUUCUUUUUUUCCUUCUUCUCACUCUUCAUCUUCUUCCUUAUUCCUCUGUUUUCUUUUUCUUUGA
Vicia faba (fava bean) is the source of this 216-nucleotide non-coding RNA. Lineage: Eukaryota; Viridiplantae; Streptophyta; Magnoliopsida; Fabales; Fabaceae. The record is from the annotation of a GenBank genome assembly.